CAUUAGAUGGCUGAAAGCAAGCAAUGGUCUCUUAAGCCUUAGGAUAGUAAAUUAGCAUUUACUUCUAAUGA
RNAcentral lists this transfer RNA (71 nucleotides) under Corthylus rubricollis. Its description in RNAcentral is "tRNA-Lys". The record is from RNAcentral. Lineage: Eukaryota; Metazoa; Arthropoda; Insecta; Coleoptera; Curculionidae.